RNAcentral lists this ribosomal RNA (441 nucleotides) under uncultured Anaerolineae bacterium. Its description in RNAcentral is "partial 16S ribosomal RNA". It matches the Rfam family "Bacterial small subunit ribosomal RNA", at positions 338 to 794 of the family's 1533-position model. The record is from RNAcentral. Lineage: Bacteria; Bacillati; Chloroflexota; Anaerolineae.
CCUACGGGAGGCAGCAGUAAGGAAUAUUGCGCAAUGGGGGCAACCCUGACGCAGCAACGCCGCGUGGGCGACGAAGGCCUUCUGGUUGUAAACCUCUUUUCUGGGGGACGAGACCAGGACGGUACCUCAGGAAUAAGUCUCGGCUAACUACGUGCCAGCAGCCGCGGUAAAACGUAGGAGGCGAGCGUUAUCCGGAUUUACUGGGCGUAAAGCGCACGCAGGCGGUUUCGUUAGUCGGACGUGAAAGCUCCUGGCUUAACGGGGAGAGGUCGUUCGAUACUGCGGAACUUGAGGUUGGGAGAGGGGUGUGGAAUUCCCGGUGUAGGGGUGGAAUGCGUAGAGAUCGGGAGGAACACCAGUGGCGAAGGCGGCACCCGGGCCCACACCUGACGCUGAGGUGCGAAAGCGUGGGGAGCAAACAGGAUUAGAUCCCCCUGUAGU